AUGACUUACCCUUGCAUAUACAAGUCUCCUGAAGAGCAAAGACUUUGAAUUGCACUAGAUGGGAUAAUUUUAAAAGAUUUAAUGAAAGAAUAUAGCUGCAUGUUGCCUCGCAGUACAAAUGCACACAUGCAUACACACAGAGGAAUGCACACAUUUAAAAAAAAAAGAAAAAUUGAACCGAGUGAGUGCUAUGUUAGCAUACACUGUGUGCUUAUUGGGAAAUAUAAAUACACCCAGCAGCACAAGGUAUUUCAGGCUAGAGGCAUAGCAUGGAAAAAAUUAACCCUGGGCAGCCUUUUCUCACACUUCCCUUCACUCCCUGUCCUCCUACCAGGGAGUCUCAUAGAGCGAAAGACAUUUUGAGAAUCAUAGUUUUCUAGACUGGCAGUGCACCUUACUGCUGCUGGGGAGAAACCUUCACCCUGUUUUUUUGCUGCCAAAGCUUUUGUCCAGAGGGCAAAAAGACAUGCUGAGUUGGGACACCUUUGACUUGUAAGUGUAUUCACAUACUUUUGAUUGAUCAUAGUCAUCUUCCACGGAUCCCUUGGACAUAGUCUGUGGACCCCAGAUUGAAAACCACUGCCUUAGACAGUGCCCAGGGUAUGUACCUCACUCAUCCACCCUACAUUAUGCUAUUGUUUCAGUCAAUAUUUAAUUGUACUUAACUAUACAUGAGAAUACACUUUCAUUGACUUCAGCAGUUGUGUCAGUGGCUCCAGGAUCAGAGCCUAAAUUACUUGGUCAUAUGCUAGAGACCAUUGUUGUUAAAAUGAGGGGAGAGAAAUUCUGCAGUCCCUCGUUCUGAGUUUAUGACUUUUGUUUGGCAGGUGGUCUCAGAGUACAGAGUCCUUCUUUUCUUUUCUUUUCUUUUUAAGGAUCCCUUCACCUGACUAAGGGUUGGCAGACCUGGACUUUUGACUUCUAUGUUAAUUUGCAGAAGGGGAAGUAAAAGCAAAAGGGUCACAGCUUCCAAAUGUAGAUGAAUAAAAAUGUGAUGAGUACAGCCACAUUAAAGGCCCAUAUUCUUCACUCACCAUCAGGGACAGACCUGGAGCUUCUUUGGAGCACCAUGCUAGAUACAUGGAGAACUGACCUGGAAGAUACAGAAAAACCCCUAACAUACAUGCACAGAGAACAGAACUUUUUGUUUUUAAGAAGUUAUUUUCAGAAUAGUUUGUCUGGUUCUCUUAGAAAUGAAUGCGACUUAGCCAUGAUUCUCAGUUGCUUUCAGAAGUGGCAGCAGCCAUUCUCUAGUAGAUUAUAGAAAACAAAAAAGGCUAUUUGUUGAUUGCUUUCCAUCUGCAUGCAUAUGGCCCUUGAAAAUCUUAUUUUUAGGCUGGAAUGGCUUGAAUGAUCCAGCUGUGCGACUGAUUUGUCUCUGAUUCACUCUCACUUCCUGAUGAUGAAACUUGAGCUGACCUAGAAUACAACCCUGAAACUAGCAGUUGCAUAAUGGCUAGCCAUCAGCCCAAAUACCUUGGUUUAACUGGGGACAAUGGGACAGUUGGAAUUCUGGGUACUUCUGUGUACACCACACAUGAAAGACAUCCACAUCCAAGCAUGUCUCUUUCCUGAAUGAGAAGGUAGGAGGGUUGCUCAUAUCCCUUCACUUCCUAUAGAUUUUUUUCUGAACCCUGGGAGAGGAUGUGGGUUAGGAGGGGAGUGGAUAGGAUGGGUCAGGUGAUCAGACUUCAGCCUUGUUCUCUUUCUUUGACUCUAGUGUGAUGUAUGAUAUAAUUAGGUAUUACUGCACCCCAUAACUAAUGCUAAUGCUUCAGAGUCCUUUCAUUGUCUCAGGAUUAUUGGAGAUAAUCACUUUGACACAUUUUGUCAUCAAUUAUCUUAACUCUGUGGGGGAGACUUGCAGAUUAUGAAGGAGACUUUCAUCCUUUUGUCACAUGGCAAAAAACUGGGAAUGCUAUAACUAGGGAUCUGCCUAACUUGAGGAGGUGGCUGGCCAAUUUUGCAGGGAGAUUGCAGGGCUGGCUGUCAUAUUCACAAGCUGAUCGUGGUGGUACCCUCCUUCCCCCAUGCUGCUGAUUAGCUAUGAGGGCUGUCUGCCAUGCAGCUCCAUCUCUCACCACUGAUUGGUGGAGGGGUGGGGCCACAUGAUGGGAAGCCCUCUCAGCCAAUCAGUGGUGAGGGGUGGGGCUGGCAUUCAUCUUGGGCUGCCUUUUGUGCAGGCAGUAGGGCUGUGCAAAAUUUCGCCAGGUAUUUUGUUUCGCAGUUGUCUUAACGCGUUUCAAGCUUGAAACAGUGAUGUCAAAAUGAAACAAAAGCCUUUGAAACAGCUUUGAAAUGAAAUGAGGGCACUCAAAACAUUUCGAAAGUUUCAAAAUGUUUCGAGUUUACAAGCCAGGCUUACUUGGCUUCAGCAACAGUCCCAGCUGGCAGUAGCAGCCUGCUGUCAUCCCUCAUGCAGCUCCAGGGGCCGUGCCCCCAGGAGGAGUCUGGCACAGUCCCACAGUCCUCCCAAGGGUGCGGGCCCCUGGAUCUGUGCUGGAUGAUGGGAGUCUGUCACUGCCACCUGGGACCGGUGCCGGCUGCACCCUGUGCCCAACACCAGGAAGAUCGCUGCUGCUGCUGUGCUCCAAGCAGCUCCACCACUGGCUCUCUACUGCCUCCUGUUGCCAGACUUGGCUCCGUGGGACUGCAGAGCCUCCAGCUGUCAUGCUGUGCUCACCAGGGCUGCGCUCCAAGCUGCUCCUCCAGGCCCAUGGAGCUCAGCCGGCGGCGGGAGAUGACAGAGACAGUGGCAGAGCCACUUCAAGUACAGCCCUUGGUCUGAGUGCAGUCCUGGUCAGUGGCUUUCCCCCACCUCCUGCUGCUGGGCUCAGCUCUGGGCUGUGGAGCCACUAGGAGCGCAGCCCUGGUGGGAACUGUCUGAUGGCUAGAGGCUCCGCAGCCCCAUGGAGUUGAGUUUGGUGGUGGAAGGUGGCAGAGAGCCAGUGGCAGAGUUGUUUGGAGCACAGCCCUGGCUCCGAGCACAGCCCUGGCCAGUGGCUCUCUCCCACCUCCCACUACUGGGCUCAGCUCUGUGGGGCUGGCAGAGCUGCUUGGAGUGCAGCUCAGUGGCAGGAGAGCUAGGGCUGUGCUCCGAGAAGCUCUGCUAGCUCCAUGGAGCUCAGUCGAGUGGCGAGAGAUGGGGGAGCGCCAUUGGCCAGGACUGCACUCAGAGUCAGGGCUGCGCAUGGAGCAGCUCCACCACUGGCUCUCCCCCAUCUCCCGCUGCUGGGCUGAGCUCCGUUGUGCUGGCAGAGCACAGCCCUGGCUCUCCCCUGCCUCCCGCCACCAGGCUGUACUCCGAGCAUCUCCGCCAACCUCACAGAGAUCAGCCCCACAGCCCUCCCAGGAGUGCAGGCCCCUAGAUCUGCACUCAGGAUGACAGGAGGCUGCUGCUGCUGCCUGC
Alligator mississippiensis (American alligator) is the source of this 3409-nucleotide long non-coding RNA. RefSeq lists it as uncharacterized. Lineage: Eukaryota; Metazoa; Chordata; Crocodylia; Alligatoridae. The record is from RefSeq and is a predicted model, not a curated record. The transcript has 3 exons.